Molecule: ribosomal RNA, 266 nt
Filed under: uncultured bacterium
Lineage: Bacteria
Description: partial 16S ribosomal RNA
Rfam family: Bacterial small subunit ribosomal RNA
Source: RNAcentral
GUCCACGCCCUAAACGAUGUCAACUAGUUGUUGGUAGAGUAAAAUCUAUGAGUAACGUAGCUAACGCGUGAAGUUGACCGCCUGGGGAGUACGGUCGCAAGAUUAAAACUCAAAGGAAUUGACGGGGGCCCGCACAAGCGGUGGAUUAUGUGGAUUAAUUCGAUGCAACGCGAAAAACCUUACCUGGCCUUGACAUGUACCGAAUUGAGCAGAGAUGUUCAAGUGCUCGAAAGAGAACGGUAACACAGGUGCUGCAUGGCUGUCGU